This 759-nucleotide long non-coding RNA is filed under the name Homo sapiens (human). RNAcentral describes it as "MIR4435-2 host gene". The record is from RNAcentral. Lineage: Eukaryota; Metazoa; Chordata; Mammalia; Primates; Hominidae.
CAUUGGGAAUGGAGGGAAAUAAAUGACUGGAUGGUCGCUGCUUUUUAAGUUUCAAAUUGACAUUCCAGACAAGCGGUGCCUGAGCCCGUGCCUGUCUUCAGAUCUUCACAGCACAGUUCCUGGGAAGGUGGAGCCACCAGCCUCUCCCUGUCCUGGAGGCUGGAAGUGCAAAAGGAAGGUGUCGGCAAGAUCGUUUUUUUCUGAGAGCUCUCUCCUUGGCUUGCAGAUGGCAGCUUGCUCCUGGCACAGUCUUUUCUCUACUCACGCCCAAAGUUACGGAGGACCCAGCAACCAUCUCCUGCAGCCCCUGAAAACCUCUUGACUCUUCUGUGAUGUCCCCAGUGAUCCAGCAGCCCCGGCCUUCUUUUGAUGGCUUGAACAUUUGGUCUUCAUUGAACAGUUUGUAUAUUGGAAACUUGCCAGCCUCCAUCCACAUUCCAACCUCCGUCUGCAUCCCUCGAAUAACUGGGAGAUGAAACAGGAAGCUCUAUGACACACUUGAUCGAAUAUGACAGACACUGAAAAUCACGACUCAUCCCCCUCCAGCACCUCUACCUGUUGCCCGCCGAUCACAGCCGGAAUGCAGCUGAAAGAUUCCCUGGGGCCUGGUUCCAACUGCCCACUGUGGACUCUGAGGCCUCUGCAUUUGCGGGUGGUCUGCCUGUGAUAUUUUGGUCAUGGGCUGGUCUGGUCGGUUUCCCAUUUGUCUGGCCAGUCUCUGUGUGUCUUAAUCCCUUGUCCUUCAUUAAAAGCAAAACU